Molecule: long non-coding RNA, 608 nt
Filed under: Triticum aestivum (bread wheat)
Lineage: Eukaryota; Viridiplantae; Streptophyta; Magnoliopsida; Poales; Poaceae
Description: long non-coding RNA (TAES_LNC002497)
Source: RNAcentral
UAGCCACCAUGAAGGUCUUCAUCCUGGCUCUCCUCGCCCUCACAGCAACCACCGCCAUUGCCCAGUUGGAAACCACAUGUAGCCAGGGCUUCGGACAAUACCAACAACAGCAACAACCUGGGCAACGACAGUUGCUGGAGCAGAUGAAGCCGUGUGUGGCAUUCCUGCAACAACAGUGUAGGCCACUGAGAAUGCCAUUCCUCCAGACACAGGUGGAGCAGCUUAGCAGCUGCCAGAUCGUGCAACACCAAUGCUGCCAGCAGCUAGCGCAGAUCCCAGAGCGAAUCCGGUGCCAUGCCAUCCACAGCGUGGUAGAGGCUAUCAUGCAACAACAAUCCCAACAACAAUGGCAGGAGCGCCAACAGCAAGCACAACAUAAGAGCAUGAGGAUGUUGCUUGAGAACCUAUCAUUGAUGUGCAACAUCUAUGUCCCGGUACAAUGCCAGCAGCAACAACAAAUGGGGCAACAACAACAACAACAACAGUUGCAGGAGCAGUUGACACCGUGUGCGACAUUCCUCCAACAUCAGUGUAGCCCAGUGACAGUGCCAUUCCCCCAGAUACCGGUGGAUCAGCCUACCAGCUGCCAGAAUGUGCAGCACCAAUGU